GAUGAAGAACGUAGCGAAAUGCGAUAAGUAAUGUGAAUUGCAGAAUUCAGUGAAUCAUCGAAUCUUUGAACGCACAUUGCGCCCGCCAGUAUUCUGGCGGGCAUGCCUGUCCGAGCGUCAUUUCAACCCUCAAGCUCUGCUUGGUGUUGGGCCCUGCCCGCUGCGGCCGGCCCUAAAGACAGUGGCGGUGCCGCCUGGCCCUGAGCGUAGUACAUCUCUCGCUCCAGUGCCCGGUGGUAGCCUGCCAGAACCCCAACUCUCGUGGUUGACCUCGGAUCAGGUAGGGAUACCCGCUGAACUUAAGCAUAUCAAUAAGCGGAGGA
This 323-nucleotide unclassified non-coding RNA is filed under the name soil metagenome. RNAcentral's name for it is "partial contains 5.8S ribosomal RNA, internal transcribed spacer 2, and large subunit ribosomal RNA". The stretch from base 1 to 120 matches the Rfam family "5.8S ribosomal RNA", at positions 35 to 154 of the family's 154-position model. The record is from RNAcentral.